This 113-nucleotide small nucleolar RNA is filed under the name Fundulus heteroclitus (mummichog). RNAcentral describes it as "Small nucleolar RNA SNORD67 (ENSFHEG00000021324.1)". It matches the Rfam family "Small nucleolar RNA SNORD67". From Rfam's summary of the family: snoRNA HBII-166 belongs to the C/D family of snoRNAs. The record is from RNAcentral. Lineage: Eukaryota; Metazoa; Chordata; Actinopteri; Cyprinodontiformes; Fundulidae.
GGUGACAGUGAUGAGUUGCACUAUUAGCCAGGUCGCUGUUUGCAGUGGCACGGCAGGCCUGUCCUGACACGAUGUGUUGACACCCAUUGUGCACAGGGGCCAUCUGAGUCGCC